Echinops telfairi (small Madagascar hedgehog) is the source of this 105-nucleotide small nuclear RNA. The record is from RefSeq and is a predicted model, not a curated record. NCBI's taxonomy places the organism in Eukaryota, Metazoa, Chordata, Mammalia, Afrosoricida, Tenrecidae.
GCGCACAUCGGCAGCACCGGUACUAAAAUUGGAAGGAUACAGAGAAGACAAGCACAGCCCGUGCACAAGGCUGACACACAAAUUCACGAAGCGUUCCAUAUUUUA